GCCGCGUUAGCUCAGCUGGUAGAGCACGUCCUUGGUAAGGACGAGGUCCCGGGUUCAAAUCCCGGACGUGGCU
RNAcentral lists this transfer RNA (73 nucleotides) under Candidatus Nanohalobium constans. It matches the Rfam family "tRNA". From Rfam's summary of the family: Transfer RNA (tRNA) molecules are approximately 80 nucleotides in length. Their secondary structure includes four short double-helical elements and three loops (D, anti-codon, and T loops). Lineage: Archaea; Nanobdellati; Candidatus Nanohalarchaeota; Candidatus Nanohalobia; Candidatus Nanohalobiales; Candidatus Nanohalobiaceae. The record is from Rfam by way of RNAcentral.